GUAAGGAGAGAGCUUAGAGAAGUUUGAUGUGGUAAAUAAAGCUGGAUUGAAAGCUUCUGCUAGAUGGGUGAGUUCUCUUCCCCAGUGCUUGGAAUCUAAAGAUUAAAGACCUCUAUGAUAGGAGACCCCCCACCACCUCAAAAUCUGUGAGAGCAGGAAAGAGAAGACCUCCUUCUACCACAGUUCACUCUGGAAGCAGAAUCAGGAAGAAAGCAAGGAGGUGGCACUAGAAGAAAGAUGCUGAAUAAAUGUACUUCAGCUUCCAUCAAGGAUGGUCUCUUGAAGAUAGUGAAGGUACUAUCACUGUAGAAGACAAAAGAAGUCAGUGUUGCAAGCUUUGCUUUGCACCUAGCGGAAAUUAAAGGCCCUGUUGGCAAUCUACCUCCCAGCUGCCUUUCUACUCCAGACAGGAUGAACCCUUUGCCCACCCCACACCUGGUGUGGAGUACAUUCUCCAUUGAGGAGCAGAGCCAAGUUCCACCCACUCUGUGUCUUACGUGUCUUGCUCUCCUCUCCCACCUUGGGCAAUAUGGGUACCUGGUGCUGGGGCUAAGGACACCCUGCACCCCAGGCAUUAUCUGGUUUUAGCUGAGGUUCUCAUGUUCCACUGUGUUCUGCUUUGUGUAAAAUUAUAGGAGGGUGCACAUUUUUAGCUCAGACAUAACUGGGCCUCCUUUUGUUUGGCAUCUGAAUCCCUUUGUGUACUCAGUUAAGGUCACUUGGCUAGCUCCUUAUUGCCCACUUGAAUCAAGU
Molecule: long non-coding RNA, 753 nt
Organism: Mauremys reevesii (Reeves's turtle)
Lineage: Eukaryota; Metazoa; Chordata; Testudines; Geoemydidae
Exons: 3
Source: RefSeq, a predicted model, not a curated record